GAAGUUUGACCCGCCUUAAAGGUUUGACCGCCUCAGACCGCCUGGGACCGCCUCAAACCGCCUCACAAGCAAAAAACCGAUUUUUCAAACCUUUACACUAAAAUCGUAAAGGUUUUGGACCGCCUCCGCCUCGGCGACCGAUUAAUCGGCCGCCUCGACCGAUUUUUAGAACACUGCUAAAUACAGAAGUAGCAGCAAGAGAGAAAGAAGCUAAAUAACCAAUUGAGAGAGCAUAUAUGAUUCAAUUAUAUUAUCAUAUAUACUUAGACAUGUGUGGCUAUAAAUGUUACAGCACAUUCA
Molecule: long non-coding RNA, 300 nt
Filed under: Erythranthe guttata (spotted monkey flower)
Lineage: Eukaryota; Viridiplantae; Streptophyta; Magnoliopsida; Lamiales; Phrymaceae
Description: long non-coding RNA (EGUT_LNC001124)
Source: RNAcentral